RNAcentral lists this ribosomal RNA (253 nucleotides) under uncultured bacterium. RNAcentral describes it as "partial 16S ribosomal RNA". It matches the Rfam family "Bacterial small subunit ribosomal RNA", at positions 524 to 776 of the family's 1533-position model. The record is from RNAcentral.
UACGAAGGGGGCUAGCGUUGUUCGGAAUUACUGGGCGUAAAGCGCACGUAGGCGGAUUUGUAAGUCAGGGGUGAAAUCCCGGGGCUCAACCUCGGAACUGCCUUUGAUACUGCAAGUCUCGAGUCCGAUAGAGGUGAGUGGAAUUCCUAGUGUAGAGGUGAAAUGCGUAGAGAUGGGGGAGAACACUCGUGGCGAAGGCGGCCAGCUAGACCAGUUCUGACACUGAGGCGCGACAGCGUGGGGAGCAAACAGG